Non-coding RNA from Lepisosteus oculatus (spotted gar), 432 nucleotides. NCBI's taxonomy places the organism in Eukaryota, Metazoa, Chordata, Actinopteri, Semionotiformes, Lepisosteidae. The record is from RefSeq and is a predicted model, not a curated record.
ACGUUUUUUAUAGCUAGAUAAAAACAAUCAAAUCAUCGACAACUAUUACAGUAAUCAGAUUAAGAUUUAUAAGAAAAACUGCAGUGAAGAGUAGAAGUGUGUAUCUCCGUUCCCUGAUGCGCUUGUGUUGGAAGUGAAGCUCGGAACGGCAGCAGCGACACUGAGAGGAUUCCACCUGCUCUCGGCAGCAGCCUCCCACACUCUUCAGAGUGACAUGGGGCUGGUGCUUAGUUACUACAUCUCCAGGGGGCGAGAUCCGAGACUCACAACUACAGCACGCCGGUGAAUGAUCUGCCCCGAGAUGCACCUACAGUAGAAAUAACGACCUUGCGCAAAACAUAACGGGCGUUUAGCAAUCAGCUGAAUAAAAAGAGCCCACAGAAGAGCACAUAUAGCGGUGGGUUUCAAUAAAACUUUUGUGAGUUAAGAAAA